Molecule: non-coding RNA, 79 nt
Organism: Desulfuromonas acetoxidans DSM 684
Lineage: Bacteria; Pseudomonadati; Thermodesulfobacteriota; Desulfuromonadia; Desulfuromonadales; Desulfuromonadaceae
Source: Rfam
CUCCGAUAAAGGCAAAACCGGAGUAAUCCGGUGACGCAAAGCCACGGGUCCUGUUUGACAGGAUCGCCGGGUUCCCGAA